Molecule: ribosomal RNA, 302 nt
Filed under: uncultured Planctomycetota bacterium
Lineage: Bacteria; Pseudomonadati; Planctomycetota
Description: bacterial SSU rRNA
Rfam family: Bacterial small subunit ribosomal RNA
Source: RNAcentral
AAUGAACGUUGGCGGCGUGGAUUAGGCAUGCAAGUCGAGCGCUCAUCAGCAAUGGUGGGAGCGGCGAACGGCGUAGUAAUGCAUCGGAACGUACCCUCUGGUCGGGGAUAGCUAUGGGAAACUGUAGGUAAUACCCGAUAAACUCUGCGGAGCAAAGGUGAGAUUCCGCCGGAGGAGCGGCUGAUGUGAUAUUAGCUUGUUGGUGGGGUAAAGGCCUACCAAGGCGAUGAUGUCUAGGGGGUGUGAGAGCAUGGCCCCCACGACCGGAACUGAGAUACUGUCCGGACACCUACGGGUGGCAG